RNAcentral lists this ribosomal RNA (165 nucleotides) under uncultured bacterium. Its description in RNAcentral is "partial 16S rRNA". It matches the Rfam family "Bacterial small subunit ribosomal RNA", at positions 355 to 511 of the family's 1533-position model. The record is from RNAcentral.
UAGGGAAUCUUCCACAAUGGGCGAAAGCCUGAUGGAGCAACGCCGCGUGUGUGAUGAAGGGUUUCGGGCUCGUAAAACACUGUUGUAAGAGAAGAAUGACAUUGAGAGUAACUGUUCAAUGUGUGACGGUAUCUUACCAGAAAGGAACGGCUAAAUACGUGUCAG